AUUGAACGCUGGCGGCGUGCCUAAACACAUGCAAGUCGAGCGGCAGCGCGGGAGCAAUCCUGGCGGCGAGCGGCGAACGGGUGAGUAAUGCUUCGGAAUCUGCCCAUGUAGUGGGGAAUAACCAGCCGAAAGGUUGGCUAAUACCGCAUACGACCUACGGGUGAAAGCAGGGGAUCGUAAGACCUUGCGCUAUUGGAUGAGCCGAAGUCGGAUUANCUUGUUGGGAGGUAACGGCUCACCAAGGCGACAAUCCGUAGCUGGUCUGAGAGGACGACCAGCCACACUGGGAC
This 290-nucleotide ribosomal RNA is filed under the name uncultured bacterium. Its description in RNAcentral is "partial 16S ribosomal RNA". It matches the Rfam family "Bacterial small subunit ribosomal RNA", at positions 30 to 319 of the family's 1533-position model. The record is from RNAcentral.